AGUCAACUGAAUAUUCCUCCAGGUGGCGGCAGAGUGGACUUUGUGGAGCUGAUGUUGGCAGGUACAGCAGACAUGAUAGGAGUGGAGGAGCUCAGGGAUGCUUUCAGAGAGCUGCUGAACAUGCUACAACCACGAAAGACAUUGUGACUUCUGGGGAACACAACCAGAGACUCACUGAUGAACUAUUCUCCACAGAAUGAUCGAGUGACUUCAAAAGAGAGACAACAACGACAUACAAGCGCGGAGCAGAACAAGGGGAACCCAAGAGCAGUCUCAGACGAGGAAAUUGGGAUGAAAUAACCAAGGUAU
Salmo salar (Atlantic salmon) is the source of this 309-nucleotide non-coding RNA. Lineage: Eukaryota; Metazoa; Chordata; Actinopteri; Salmoniformes; Salmonidae. The record is from RefSeq and is a predicted model, not a curated record.